AUCCUUUUGUGGUUCAUAAGCAUAAUGAUUCGGUUUUCAUGCUCAUGUGUGAGACGCGCUGCCUCAAGCCUUGUUACAGUGUCAGCACGUCACUCAUCUGAUG
This is a small nucleolar RNA of Macaca fascicularis (crab-eating macaque), 103 nucleotides long. The record is from Ensembl. NCBI's taxonomy places the organism in Eukaryota, Metazoa, Chordata, Mammalia, Primates, Cercopithecidae.